AUCGCCUCCCGCCCCCACCUAAUAUGGGAGGUCCCGCCUGCCCUGUGAUUUUAAUUUAACGGCCGCGGUAUUUUGACCGUGCAAAGGUAGCGCAAUCACUUGUCUCUUAAAUGGAGACCUGUAUGAAUGGCAUAACGAGGGCUUAACUGUCUCCCCCUCCUAGUCAAUGAAAUUGAUUUCCCCGUGCAGAAGCGGGGAUAAACCCAUAAGACGAGAAGACCCUGUGGAGCUUUAGACUGUAAAUAGCACCUGUAAAGAUUAGCUUACAACAUAAAACAAAAGGUACCUCUAUUUUUCAUGUCUUCGGUUGGGGCGACCGCGGGGCAUACAAAACCCCCACGUGGAACAGGAACUCCAUCCUUAAACUAAGAGCAACACCUCUAAGGAACAGAAUCUCUGACCAAAGUGAUCCGGCGGUAACCCCGCCGAUCAACGGAACUAGUUACCCCAGGGAUAACAGCGCAAUCCUCUCCCAGAGCCCAUAUCGACGAGGGGGUUUACGACCUCGAUGUUGGAUCAGGACAUCCUAAUGGUGCAGUCGCUAUUAAGGGUUCGUUUGUUCAACGAUUAAAGUCCUACGUAGU
RNAcentral lists this ribosomal RNA (584 nucleotides) under Istiblennius edentulus (rippled rockskipper). RNAcentral describes it as "partial 16S ribosomal RNA". It matches the Rfam family "Bacterial large subunit ribosomal RNA", at positions 1815 to 2604 of the family's 2925-position model. Lineage: Eukaryota; Metazoa; Chordata; Actinopteri; Blenniiformes; Blenniidae. The record is from RNAcentral.